Non-coding RNA from Cinara cedri, 571 nucleotides. NCBI's taxonomy places the organism in Eukaryota, Metazoa, Arthropoda, Insecta, Hemiptera, Aphididae. The record is from the annotation of a GenBank genome assembly.
CUGCCAAAUAAAAAUUAUGCACAGUUAAAAUGAAUAUAAAUAGCAAUUUUGAAAAUGUUACCACCUCUAGGAAAAGUUAGAAGAAUCACGAUAUUCGCACUACUCAUUAAAACACCGUUCGACAAUGAUUGCCGAAACAAAAACAAAACACAAACCUUUUGAUGUUUACCGGCACCGCUCGAGACAAGACUUUGUUUUCGAAAACACGAACAAUUUGUUGGAAAAAACAUAAUUGUUAAAAAAAUGUUUUGAUUUUGUUGUAAAAAUACGAGUUUGUGUUUUGUUUUAAUUUUGUCGUCUCAGUGUGGACGCGGCAUAUCAAUUAGAAUCAAUUUUUUGACUUCGUUUUCUCGUUAUAUCGAUUUACUCGGGGUUAGCGAAUUAAUAUGUCUACGUUGUCGCAAUACUCGAAAUUUUGUUGAUGUCACAAUACUCACAGUUAAUUCUGAGCCCGACAACACACACACUAUCUAAAUAUGCUUUAGAUUAGAUCGAUUUAUAUAUAUUUAUAAUUGAUAGGAAUUACUACAUGUAAAAUCAAUUAUUUCGAGUAUUUUGACGUACUUCAAUG